Molecule: ribosomal RNA, 513 nt
Filed under: uncultured bacterium
Lineage: Bacteria
Description: bacterial SSU rRNA
Rfam family: Bacterial small subunit ribosomal RNA
Source: RNAcentral
UAGUCCACGCCGUAAACGAUGGUUACUAGCUGUUUGGGCGCAAGCCUGAGUGGCUAAGCGAAAGUGAUAAGUAACCCACCUGGGGAGUACGAUCGCAAGAUUGAAACUCAAAGGAAUUGACGGGGGCCCGCACAAGCGGUGGAGCAUGUGGUUUAAUUCGAUGAUACGCGAGGAACCUUACCAGGGCUUAAAUGUGGUUUGACAGGGGCAGAGAUGUCUUUUCCUUCGGGCAAAUCACAAGGUGCUGCAUGGUUGUCGUCAGCUCGUGCCGUGAGGUGUCAGGUUAAGUCCUAUAACGAGCGCAACCCCUGUUGUUAGUUACCAGCAUGUAAAGGUGGGGACUCUAACAAGACUGCCGGUGCAAACCGCGAGGAAGGUGGGGAUGACGUCAAAUCAUCACGGCCCUUACGUCCUGGGCUACACACGUGCUACAAUGGUAGGUACAGAGAGCAGCCACGUCGCAAGGCGGAGCGAAUCUACAAAACCUAUCUCAGUUCGGAUCGGAGUCUGCAA